AUGCCACCCGGCACCUGCAUGCCAGGAGCCUUUCUUUGGGUCGCCCCCAAGUUCCCAAACCGUUUCCAAAAGAAAAGCAAAGAAACGCUCCUCUCCGACGAUGGAAGUCCUGGCACUGCCUCCAGCUUGGCUCUCUUCAUCUUCUCCUUCUUCUGGCAGAGCCCCAGCAUCUCCAAGGAGACACAGCACCUAGAGCGGGCCAUGGCCAGCUGCCUCCCACCAGGAUCUGCCCAAUUUUGGAUUUUAUAUUCUUCGGGCCCCAUUGUCUCAUACAUUGAAGAGGAUGUCUUCUCACCUCUCUGGGAUUGCCCAAGAGAGAGUUGCUGUUAACACACACACACACACAUAUAUAUCCUGAUUAGAAGAUACUUUAUCCACCAUGCAAUCCCAAGGAACUGAAUUCACAUCCCAAAAUGGCUCAUUCAAGGUUUUAGCCUGGGUCACAAUACUCAGGUUUUCAGACUUAAGGAGAUAGGAAAAGGGACUAAGGAAAUGAGCACAAUUUCUCAGAACCCAAAAUAAGUAUACCUUGUUAGAAUAUCAUUAAUCCACUCCUUGUACACACACAAUUGAAUGGAAAGGAUAUUUGCAAGGACCAAUAAAAUCUUGCCUGCCUAGUUUUAGCCCAACUAGACUUGAUGGUGGAAGAAGGGGCUACCCAGAAUACAUUUGGAAUCAUUGGCAAAGGUUAGGUGAUUACUCUCUUGGGAGGUGGGGAAACAUUGCUUGCAAAUCAAUGACAUUUGUCAGCACUAAUAUCACAACCCCUCAUCACCUAGACUGUCAACAUCAAUCAGCAUCUUUAAAAAGAAAAGGUGUUUGAGAUAUAGUAGCGAGAGGGAGAGGGCAGGGUGGAGGAAGAAGAAAGGAAAGAUGGUUGGCUCUUGAAAGAGACAUGAAAGAACAAAGGAAUGGAACCUUGGAAAAUUGGACUGUAAUGUAAUUUACCUGAGGGGAAGGAGUAUGUCCUCUCUCCUGUGUUCCUUGUUUCACUUAAAGCAGUAGUUGCAGUACCUUCAGUUUGUUUGUUUUUUCAUGAAUACAAUUUUUUGACCAUCUCCUUUGGGAAAAGCACUGAAAUAGGUAAGUAGAAAUAUGCAAAAAACCCAAACAUAUAAAUUGAAUAUAAUCCCACCU
This 1137-nucleotide long non-coding RNA is filed under the name Ornithorhynchus anatinus (platypus). RNAcentral describes it as "lncRNA (ENSOANG00000049348.1)". The record is from RNAcentral. Lineage: Eukaryota; Metazoa; Chordata; Mammalia; Monotremata; Ornithorhynchidae.